AUGUUGAAGUCGCCAAGCACCAUCCAAGGACCCGGGCACAGCGCUCUCCUUGCCUCCAAAUCGGCUAAGCAUCCAUUCAGGAAUGACCGUGAAGAGUUCUACUACAGUGGCACUCUGACAGCACCCCUUGGUUCACCCAACGCGCACCUCUUCAUCAGUACUCAAUCAUCCUUGUUUUAUUGGCCAGUUGGGAGUGAAACUUGGUCUGAAAUCUAGCUUAAUGAUGCACGCAUAGAACAGAUUGUGGAAUACAAUGGCCAAUUCAUCCUGAUUGAUUAUCAUUAUAGGAUCUACAGUUUGCAGCUAGCCCCUCAGCUUGGUCUACAGGAGAUAAAGACUUUGUGGUGGGAUGGCAUGGAUGAAUGCCCAUAUUUAAGACCAUGGCUAGUUGUAUGUGGCGACGUGCUUCUCAUUGUUGAUCAUUGCAUCAACUUAUCAUUGGGAGCACCAGUGACCUAUAAACCCUACUGCCUCAAUAUCUGUACCAAGCCGGCAAAAUGGGUGGAGCUAAAGAAGCUGGAAAAUUGGGCACUCUUUGUUGGGGGUUUUGUGAUGAGCACACCGUUUUCUUGCAUGAGCCCAUAACUAUGGGGAGCGAGGAGGAACUGCUUGUACUAUGACCAUUACUCUGAACCUUGGAGCAUACAUGGGUUUGGUGAUGAGGCAGAUGCUGUGUGGGAUCCGUCGACCAAUCCUGACCUUCCGUACAGAAAAAACUGGUACCACCAGCUGCAGGCCCUCUGGGUGUAUCCAAGUGUGUUCGAUUCUGAUAGCGAGUGA
Molecule: ribosomal RNA, 780 nt
Filed under: Triticum aestivum (bread wheat)
Lineage: Eukaryota; Viridiplantae; Streptophyta; Magnoliopsida; Poales; Poaceae
Description: partial small subunit ribosomal RNA
Source: RNAcentral